Molecule: long non-coding RNA, 1374 nt
Filed under: Apteryx haastii (Great spotted kiwi)
Lineage: Eukaryota; Metazoa; Chordata; Aves; Apterygiformes; Apterygidae
Description: lncRNA (ENSAHAG00000006453.1)
Source: RNAcentral
CCCAGGCGUCCGGGUUCGGUUUGCGUCGUUUCCGUCAACAACGGGGCGGGGGAGCUUUUGUUGUUUUGGGGCUUUCUGUCGUUUUUUUUGGUUUUUAAAGCUAUUUAAUAAACUUCAUUAGCCUCAGCUCAGCACCGUGUCAUGGCUACCGGGGGGCCCAGGCGUCCGGGCAGGGAGGAGGCGGCCGGCAGCGCUGCGCGUCCCUUUAAUUCAUCCCAGGGCGCCAGCGCGAUAACGGUACGUUAAUAAUUCCAUUAACGAUGCUAACGAGGUGGCUGCGGCUGUGGGGGGGGUAAUUAGGGGGCGCUAACGAAGCGCCCGGGGGCAGCAACACCGGCUGGGGCGGCAAAACCCGGAGCUGGAGCUGGGGUAAAACCAGGAUCUGGAUCCAGGUCACAGGGCAAAACCCGGAGCUGGAGCUGGGGUAAAACCGGGAUCUGGAUCCUAGCAGACAGUAAAACCCGGAGCCGGCUCAGGGCCCAAACUGGGAUGGGACUGUGGCUGCAGGGAAAACCCGGAGAAGAAGCCCAGGAUCGGGCUGGUCCCAUCUUGUGGCUGGAGGUAAAACCUGGUGGGGAUCCAGGAGCCAGGCCGGAUUAGGGCUUGCUCCCAUGGUGGGAAGGAAAACCCGGCUGGAGCCCGGAUUGGCUCCCAGCUGGAGGCAAAACUCGGCCAGGACUUUGGACAGGGCUGACCCGGGGCCCGGAAUUAGGGCGGGAGAUAAAACCCGGCCAAAAUCAGGGAUGAGACCGUGACCAGCCCCACGGUUAGAGGAAAACCUGACCUGGAUUUGGGUCUGGGUCAGGGUUGGAGCCAAAACCUGGGCAGGAUCGCAGCGUGGAUCCGGGUUGGAACCGAAACCCAUCCUGGACUGUUGCCUGGGUCCCAGUGGAAAGCAAGAUCCGAGCUGGAUUGCGUCCUGGAGCCUGGUUGGAACCAAAACUUGUCCUGGAUUACAGCCCAGAUCGGUGCUGAAAGCAAAAUCCGUGCUGGAUUGUGUCCUGGAGCCGUGCUGGAGCCAAAACUUGUCCUGGAUUACAGCCCAGAUCCGUGCUGAAAGCAAAAUCCGUGCUGGAUUGUGUCCUGAAGCCGUGCUGGAGCCAAAACCCAUGCUGGAUCACGUUCUGGAUCCGUGUCGGAGCCAAGACCUGUCCUGGAUCACAUCGGGGACCCGCAUCAGAACCAAGACCCGUGCCGGAUCCCGUCGGGGAUCCGUGCUGGAGCCCAGCCCCGCGCUGGACAGCGUCGGGGAAGCGCGCGUGCCGUGUCCGCGUGCCCGUGUCUGCGUCCCGCGUGCCGCCGCCAUCGUCCGCGUGCUCAGGAGGCGCCGCCGUCGGCCAGGCCGCGCAGCCAGGCGACGGUGCGGUCGCGCGC